RNAcentral lists this ribosomal RNA (256 nucleotides) under uncultured bacterium. Its description in RNAcentral is "partial 16S ribosomal RNA". It matches the Rfam family "Bacterial small subunit ribosomal RNA", at positions 524 to 776 of the family's 1533-position model. The record is from RNAcentral.
GACAGAGGGUGCAAACGUUGUUCGGAAUUACUGGGCGUAAAGCGAGUGUAGGCGGUUUGGUAAGUCGGAUGUGAAAGCCCCCGGGCUCAACCCGGGAAGUGCACUCGAUACUGCCAAGCUAGAGUAUCGGAGAGGUUGGUGGAAUUCUCGGUGUAGAGGUGAAAUUCGUAGAUAUCGAGAGGAACACCGGUGGCGAAGGCGGCCAACUGGACGAAUACUGACGCUGAGAACUCGAAAGCGUGGGGGAGCAAACAGG